Molecule: ribosomal RNA, 258 nt
Filed under: uncultured bacterium
Lineage: Bacteria
Description: partial 16S ribosomal RNA
Rfam family: Bacterial small subunit ribosomal RNA
Source: RNAcentral
CUACCUACGGGGCGCAGCAGUGGGGAAUAUUGGGCAAUGAGCGCAAGCCUGACCCAGCAACGCCGCGUGAAGGAAGAAGGCUUUCGGGUUGUAAACUUCUUUUCUCAGGGACGAAGAAAGUGACGGUACCUGAGGAAUAAGCCACGGCUAACUACGUGCCAGCAGCCGCGGUAAUACGUAGGUGGCAAGCGUUAUCCGGAUUUACUGGGUGUAAAGGGCGUGUAGGCGGGGAAGCAAGUCAGAUGUGAAAACCACGGG